UUUGAUGAUGAAAUAUUAAAUAUAUGUGUUAAAUUAUCAUGUUUUGUCUUUGGAUUUUUGAUGAAUAUGAGUAAAUUGGACUAAAUUUUGAAAAUAAAUUUUUGAGGGACUAACAUGUGAAAUAAAUGAAAUGUAUGGACUUGAUGAGCUAGAGUGAUAUUCGGCCAAGCAUGGGUAUUAUGAAAUUUUGUGUAUUUUGUGUUUUAUGCAAUAGGGAC
RNAcentral lists this long non-coding RNA (218 nucleotides) under Gossypium raimondii (Peruvian cotton). RNAcentral describes it as "long non-coding RNA (GRAI_LNC002862)". Lineage: Eukaryota; Viridiplantae; Streptophyta; Magnoliopsida; Malvales; Malvaceae. The record is from RNAcentral.